Molecule: unclassified non-coding RNA, 230 nt
Filed under: Hevea brasiliensis (rubber tree)
Lineage: Eukaryota; Viridiplantae; Streptophyta; Magnoliopsida; Malpighiales; Euphorbiaceae
Source: RNAcentral
UUUGCGCUAAUCAAAAGGAGGAAAAUGGCAAUAUAGGCUCUUUCACUCUUCCUAAAGCAAAUGGGCAACUUUUUAUCGUGCUCUCGCACAAAGAUAAAAGUAAUGGGGAAUCUUUAUCAUGGGCCUGCCCUGACUCUCCAUAAUUGCACUUGCACUGCGAUUCACUGCCAUAUAUCUCCUGUAAAAUGUAGCCCUUCUUUAGAUGUGUGGAAAAUAGAGGAAAAGGAAAA